GCCAGUAUGGUGUAGUGGUUUGAGUGUUGGAUUAUUACACCAGAUAUCAGGGUUCAAUUCCCCACUUGGCU
Molecule: non-coding RNA, 71 nt
Organism: Phrynosoma platyrhinos (Desert horned lizard)
Lineage: Eukaryota; Metazoa; Chordata; Lepidosauria; Squamata; Phrynosomatidae
Source: the annotation of a GenBank genome assembly